UAUGAGGGCCCGACGUCCACAGGUGGGGGUUAUGCUUACAGCCCAACACCGUGUAGGACGUGUGGCAUUUCCCAGAGAACACCAAGAUUGUCAAAUUCGCCACUGGCGCCCUGUGCUCUUCACAGAAGAAAGCAGGUUCACACUGAGCACAUGUGACAGACGUCACAGAGUCUGGAGACACCGUGGAGAACGUUCUACUGCCUGCAACAUCCUCCAGCAUGGCGGGUUUGGCAGUGGGUCAGUAAUAGUGUUGGGUGGCAUUUCUUUGGGGGGCCGCACAGCCCUCCAUGUGCUUGCCAUAGGUAGCCUGACUGCCAUUAGGUACCAAGAUGAGAUCCUCAGACCGCUUGUGAGACCAUAUGCUGGUGUGGGCCCUGGGUUCCUCCUAAUGCAAGACAAUACUAGACCUCAUGUGGCUGGAGUGUGUCAGCAGUUCUGCAAGACAAAGGCAUUGAUGCUAUGGACUGGCCCGCCCGUUCCCCAGACCUGAAUCCAAUUGAUCACAUCUGGGAUAUCAUAUCUCGCUCCAUCCACCAACGUCACGUUGCACCACAGACUGUCCAGGAGUUGGCAGAUGCUUUAGUCCAGGUCUGGGAGGAGAU
Pelobates cultripes (western spadefoot toad) is the source of this 602-nucleotide non-coding RNA. The record is from the annotation of a GenBank genome assembly. NCBI's taxonomy places the organism in Eukaryota, Metazoa, Chordata, Amphibia, Anura, Pelobatidae.